Penaeus vannamei (Pacific white shrimp) is the source of this 147-nucleotide non-coding RNA. The record is from RefSeq and is a predicted model, not a curated record. NCBI's taxonomy places the organism in Eukaryota, Metazoa, Arthropoda, Malacostraca, Decapoda, Penaeidae.
CUCGAAGUCAAUUCCCUCCUCAGUUGUCACCCGUCAACAACAUCAGCUGAUAUUUUCCAGAGAUAGCUCAGGUAUCCAGGCAAGUGCACAGCUGAAAGCAACUGCUGUUAACAAGUUAUGGAGAAGAUGACACGAUAUGAACAGGUU